UACGUAGGGGGCAAGCGUUGUCCGGAAUUAUUGGGCGUAAAGGGCGCGUAGGCGGUUUCUUAAGUCUGAUGUGAAAGCCCACAGCUUAACUGUGGAGGGUCAUUGGAAACUGGGGAACUUGAGUGCAGAAGAGGAGAGUGGAAUUCCACGUGUAGCGGUGAAAUGCGUAGAUAUGUGGAGGAACACCAGUGGCGAAGGCGACUCUCUGGUCUGUAACUGACGCUGAGGCGCGAAAGCGUGGGGAGCAAACAGGAUUAGAAACCCCCGUAGUCC
RNAcentral lists this ribosomal RNA (273 nucleotides) under uncultured bacterium. Its description in RNAcentral is "partial 16S ribosomal RNA". It matches the Rfam family "Bacterial small subunit ribosomal RNA", at positions 524 to 796 of the family's 1533-position model. The record is from RNAcentral.